GUGCUGUCAUCAGUGAAUUACCUCUGAACUGCCAACAAUGAAAUCGAACAAGAGUUACCGCAAUUCUUCACAACGUUAUUUCCAACUGAACGUUGUCAUACUAACGCACUGUUUUCUUUGAGAAGCGACGCUCUGCUUCCGUCAUCAGGAAGUAUACUAAAACACACUUUGAUGGGGUCCAUUAGCUGAAGCUAAUGUCUAUCUCAAGAGAGACGCGGUGUCCAAAUCCUGAAACGACACGACAGAAAAGGCCCCGAGCGUAUGUCACUGAUAGAAAAGAUUUUCCAUUCUUCCCGAACGAGCAGUCGAGUGGAUUUGUUGGGCCUUGAGAAGAAAUUGCCCAACGCUGUUGCUGACGCCCGACGACAAGAUCCAAUUGUGUGUCAAACCCGAGGUGACAGAUCACAUUGAUCUUAUGUACAGAGCUGCGAGAUCUACAUGCAGCACAAGAACAU
Zootermopsis nevadensis is the source of this 455-nucleotide non-coding RNA. NCBI's taxonomy places the organism in Eukaryota, Metazoa, Arthropoda, Insecta, Blattodea, Termopsidae. The record is from RefSeq and is a predicted model, not a curated record.